UACGUAGGGUGCGAGCGUUGUCCGGAAUUACUGGGCGUAAAGAGCUCGUAGGUGGUUUGUCGCGUUGUUCGUGAAAUGCCACAGCUUAACUGUGGGCGUGCGGGCGAUACGGGCAGACUGGAGUACUGCAGGGGAGACUGGAAUUCCUGGUGUAGCGGUGGAAUGCGCAGAUAUCAGGAGGAACACCGGUGGCGAAGGCGGGUCUCUGGGCAGUAACUGACGCUGGAGGAGCGAAAGCGUGGGGAGCGAACAGG
Molecule: ribosomal RNA, 254 nt
Filed under: uncultured bacterium
Lineage: Bacteria
Description: partial 16S ribosomal RNA
Rfam family: Bacterial small subunit ribosomal RNA
Source: RNAcentral